This 430-nucleotide ribosomal RNA is filed under the name Bacteroidota bacterium. RNAcentral describes it as "Bacteroidetes bacterium partial 16S ribosomal RNA". It matches the Rfam family "Bacterial small subunit ribosomal RNA", at positions 355 to 776 of the family's 1533-position model. Lineage: Bacteria; Pseudomonadati; Bacteroidota. The record is from RNAcentral.
UAGGGAAUCUUCGGCAAUGGGGGGAACCCUGACCGAGCAACGCCGCGUGAGUGAAGAAGGUUUUCGGAUCGUAAAGCUCUGUUGUUAAGGAAGAACGAGUGUGAGAAUGGAAAGUUCAUACUGUGACGGUACUUAACCAGAAAGGGACGGCUAACUACGUGCCAGCAGCCGCGGUAAUACGUAGGUCCCGAGCGUUGUCCGGAAUUAUUGGGCGUAAAGCGCGCGUAGGCGGUUUUUUAAGUCUGAUGUGAAAGCCCACGGCUCAACCGUGGAGGGUCAUUGGAAACUGGAAAACUUGAGUGCAGAAGAGGAAAGUGGAAUUCCAUGUGUAGCGGUGAAAUGCGCAGAGAUAUGGAGGAACACCAGUGGCGAAGGCGACUUUCUGGUCUGUAACUGACGCUGAUGUGCGAAAGCGUGGGAAUCAAACAGG